AGAUAAUUUUUAGAUAGGUAUCAAUUGAGUGUUUGCGAGGACGCUGCACAGAUAGGAGUGGGGCUAUGUAGAAUAGAUAUUAAUUUAUUUUUGAAAGAUAUUGAUAAAAUAUAUUAAUAAUCCAUAUAAUAGGAAAUUCGGAAGGACGAAUGAGUGAUUUAGUUAUUAAAAGCGGUUAAUUACAAAAUUACGAUUAGAAUCUGGAGAAUCAAGGGAAAGUAUAUAGGAGUUGUAGAAGUUAAUUAGGAUGCCAAACUAUGAGAGUCAUGAGCCGAGGGCCAUCGCUGUGAUAGUGUGAGCCGAGAGAAGCUUGGUGCUACUUCUUUUCUUUUGUUUGUUAUUUUCUUUGAAUAAGAGGAUUGAGAGUUUCUGAAUAUUGUAAAGUGAAUUAUGGAAUAGAAAUGUGAUUGGUACUAUUUGAGAAGAAGAAAGAUUGAAUGUUGAAAUCUGAUUGUAGUUCACUAAGGAGAAUGAGUCUGUGUUUGUGUGAAACACUGUAAUGUGAAUGGCAGUUCUGUGUGAAGAAUUCCAGUGAUUGGAACAAGGAUAAUUGUGUGCUGAAAGCUAUGAGGGCACAGUAUUACAUUUGGAGAUUAUGAGGGUGAAUAUA
Molecule: long non-coding RNA, 610 nt
Filed under: Physcomitrium patens
Lineage: Eukaryota; Viridiplantae; Streptophyta; Bryopsida; Funariales; Funariaceae
Description: long non-coding RNA (PPAT_LNC013155)
Source: RNAcentral